UGGCUCAGGAUGAACGCUAGCGACAGGCCUAACACAUGCAAGUCGAGGGGCAUCGGGGCGAGGAGCAAUCCUUGCCGCCGGCGACCGGCGCACGGGUGAGUAACGCGUAUGCGACCUGCCCGUUGCAGGGGGAUAAUCGGGAGAAAUCCCGUCUAAUACCGCGUAACGCCGCGGGGCUGCAUGGCCCUGCGGCCAAAGGGAGCGAUUCCGGCAACGGAUGGGCAUGCGUGACAUUAGCUAGUUGGCGGGGCAACGGCCCACCAAGGCGACGAUGUCUAGGGGUUCUGAGAGGAAGGUCCCCCACACUGGUACUGAGACACGGACCAGACUCCUACGGGAGGCAGCAGUGAGGAAUAUUGGUCAAUGGGCGCGAGCCUGAACCAGCCAAGUCGCGUGAGGGAUGACGGCCCUACGGGUUGUAAACCUCUUUUGUCGGGGAGCAAAUUCCGCCACGUGUGGCGGAGUCGAGAGUACCCGAAGAAAAAGCAUCGGCUAACUCCGUGCCAGCAGCCGCGGUAAUACGGAGGAUGCGAGCGUUAUCCGGAUUUAUUGGGUUUAAAGGGUGCGUAGGCGGACUGUCAAGUCAGCGGUAAAAUACGGGGGCUCAACCUCCGCCCGCCGUUGAAACUGACGGUCUUGAGUGGGCGAGAAGUAUGCGGAAUGCGUGGUGUAGCGGUGAAAUGCAUAGAUAUCACGCAGAACUCCGAUUGCGAAGGCAGCAUACCGGCGCCCAACUGACGCUGAAGCACGAAAGCGUGGGUAUCGAACAGGAUUAGAUACCCUGGUAGUCCACGCAGUAAACGAUGAAUACUAGCUGUCCGGGGCGAAUGAGCCCUGGGUGGCACAGCGAAAGCGUUAAGUAUUCCACCUGGGGAGUACGCCGGCAACGGUGAAACUCAAAGGAAUUGACGGGGGCCCGCACAAGCGGAGGAACAUGUGGUUUAAUUCGAUGAUACGCGAGGAACCUUACCCGGGCUCAAACGACACAGGAACGUACCUGAAAGGGUUCGGCUCUACGGAGCCUGUGUCGAGGUGCUGCAUGGUUGUCGUUAGCUCGUGCCGUGAGGUGUCGGCUUAAGUGCCAUAACGAGCGCAACCCCCAUCGACAGUUGCUAACAGGUUAGGCUGAGGACUCUGUCGAGACUGCCGGCGCAAGCUGCGAGGAAGGCGGGGAUGACGUCAAAUCAGCACGGCCCUUACGUCCGGGGCGACACACGUGUUACAAUGGCAGGUACAGCGGGAAGCCACCUGGCGACAGGGAGCGGAACCCGAAAGCCUGUCUCAGUUCGGAUUGGAGUCUGCAACCCGACUCCAUGAAGCUGGAUUCGCUAGUAAUCGCGCAUCAGCCACGGCGCGGUGAAUACGUUCCCGGGCCUUGUACACACCGCCCGUCAAGCCAUGGAAGCCGGGGGUGCCUGAAGUGCGCUGCCGCGAGGAGCGCCCUAGGGUAAAACUCGGUGACUGGGGCUAAGUCGUAACAAGGU
This 1484-nucleotide ribosomal RNA is filed under the name uncultured bacterium. RNAcentral describes it as "16S ribosomal RNA". It matches the Rfam family "Bacterial small subunit ribosomal RNA". The record is from RNAcentral.